CGGUUCUCUGCAUAAGACACAACAAUCUGACAUAAAGUCACAUGUUUGCCAUUUCAAAACACUGCCAUUCAAAAUUACACUACAUGAGCUAAUUGGCCAAUACAUGUGCCACCUGGCCAAACACCUCAAUGGUUAAUUGUUACCACUUCAAUCAGGAAGUAAGCACUAUGAAAAGACCACAGGUGAGCACCUUUUGUUUUACAACAACAAUGGAAGCCGUUGCAGAGAGAGGAAAAGGGAGGGUGAGAAUGAGAGAGAGGGGGAGGAAGAGUGAGAGGUAGGAGUAGAGCUGGUAGAGGAGUUCAUGUCCAAAGAAGACAACAACUUUCAAAUGAAAUCAGAGCAACCUUAGUUGAUCAUGUCAUCAACCAUGGGCUGACAAUGCGAGAGGCUGGACAGAGAGUGCAGCCCAACUUGAGCCAUUGGAGUACAGACGCAACCAUGGUGGAGGAAGGGGCCAAAUGUUCACCGGGGUACAUGAAGCUGCCAUUGUAAACUUAGUUUUGGAAAAUAAUGAAAUCAGAUUACGAGAAAUUCAAAGCCACAUCAUCCAAGACAACACCAUAUUCAACGAGUCACUGUCCACAUUGGCUCGCAUUCUCAAGCGAAACCAAAUCAGAAUGAAACAACUUUAUAAGGUGCCGUUUAAGAGAAACUCUCAAAGAAACAGAGGUCAGACGAGUAUAUGUGGAUGGAGUACUGGAAAUGGAUGCUCAUGCAAUCCCACAUCUUUAUAGAUGAGGCUGGGUUCAACCUUGCAAAGACCAGAAAAGACCAGAAGAAGGGGGAGAAACGUCAUUGGCCACAGAGCCAUUAUAGAUGUUCCUGGCCAACGUGGUGGGAACAUCACAAUGUGCGCUGCCAUCUCCAAUACACAUGGUGUCCUCCACCGUCAUGCCAACCUUGGACCAUACAACACAGCCCAUAUUCUCACAUUUCUGGACAGACUCCACAACAUUCUCAUACCAUCAAAGAACCCGAUACGUUGUAGUAUGGCACAACGUGAGCUUUCAUCGUGCAGCCCCAGUCCAAAACUGGUUUGCUGACCACCCACUAUUUCUCGUGGAAUACCACCCACCAUACUCACCAUUUCUCAACCCCAUAGAAGAGUUAUUUUCGGCAUGGCGGUGGAAGGUAUACGACCGGCAGCCCUUUGUGCGCAUGCCUCUUGUACAGGCUAUGUGAUGAGAUUGAUGUGGGUGCGAUUCAGGGAUGGAUAAGGCACUCAAGGCGCUUCUUCCCUCGAUGUCUGGCAAGGGAAGAUAUUGCCUGUGAUGUGGACGAGGCGUUGUGGCCAGACCCAGCUGUGCGGAAAGAUGCUGCCUAAUUAUUCUUCUUGCCUCUUUUCUAUAUUUUUUUUCUGCCCAUUAUUUAUUUUUUUUCUGCAAUUUUCUUUUUCAGUUUUGUUUUUUUGUCAGCAUAUUUUUGUUCAGUCCAAUGUAACUAUCUGCUGUGCACUGACUUGUUUGGUGAAAAAAUAAAAUGUUUCAACAGCAUGUGUGUAUCUGCAAAUAUUUCUGUGCAUCUGAAGAAUUUUCUACAAUUUAAACUAUUUUAGUAUUAUGGCAAAGCAUACUAAAGAUGAGAGUGCUUUUCAUUAUGCCCAACAGUGUG
RNAcentral lists this long non-coding RNA (1614 nucleotides) under Salmo salar (Atlantic salmon). RNAcentral describes it as "lncRNA (ENSSSAG00000111459.1)". The record is from RNAcentral. Lineage: Eukaryota; Metazoa; Chordata; Actinopteri; Salmoniformes; Salmonidae.